Molecule: ribosomal RNA, 301 nt
Filed under: uncultured bacterium
Lineage: Bacteria
Description: partial 16S ribosomal RNA
Rfam family: Bacterial small subunit ribosomal RNA
Source: RNAcentral
CAGUAGCCGCGGUAAUACAGAGGGUGCGAGCGUUAAUCGGAUUUACUGGGCGUAAAGCGUGCGUAGGCUGCUUCUUAAGUCGGAUGUGAAAUCCCUGAGCUUAACUUAGGAAUUGCAUUCGAUACUGGGAAGCUAGAGUAUGGGAGAGGAUGGUAGAAUUCCAGGUGUAGCGGUGAAAUGCGUAGAGAUCUGGAGGAAUACCGAUGGCGAAGGCAGCCAUUUGGCCUAAUACUGACGCUGAUGUACGAAAGCAUGGGGAGCAAACAGGAUUAGAGACCCCCGUAGUCCCUGUCUCUUAUAA